GCCAGACUCCUACGGGAGGCAGCAGUGGGGAAUAUUGCACAAUGGGGGAAACCCUGAUGCAGCGACGCCGCGUGAGUGAAGAAGUAUUUCGGUACGUAAAGCUCUAUCAGCAGGGAAGAAAAACCGGCCUUAGGGCCGCCAGACGGUACCUGACUAAGAAGCCCCGGCUCACUACGUGCCAGCAGCCGCGGUAAUACGUAGGGGGCAAGCGUUAUCCGGAUUUACUGGGUGUAAAGGGAGCGUAGACGGCAGCGCAAGUCUGGAGUGAAAUGCCGGGGCCCAACCCCGGAACUGCUUUGGGAACUGUACGGCUGGAGUGCAGGAGAGGUAAGUGGAAUUCCUAGUGUAGCGGUGAAAUGCGUAGAUAUUAGGAGGAACACCAGUGGCGAAGGCGGCUUACUGGACUGUAACUGACGUUGAGGCUCGAAAGCGUGGGGAGCAAACAGGAUUAGAUACCCUAGUAC
RNAcentral lists this ribosomal RNA (464 nucleotides) under uncultured bacterium. RNAcentral's name for it is "bacterial SSU rRNA". It matches the Rfam family "Bacterial small subunit ribosomal RNA", at positions 330 to 793 of the family's 1533-position model. The record is from RNAcentral.